UUAUAAUGGUAAAACGUUUGUCCAAGAAGAAGCUUCGUAGACAGGCAAACUUGAAAGAGAUCGCUGCGUGGUCUGGAUUGUACUGGUUCUGCAAAAGGGAAAUUGAGAAUGCCAUGAAUUAUGGCGGUGAAAAGAUAUGCCUUGGACGUGGGAGUGCAGGGCAGGUGUAUAGAGGUAUUCUCCCAAGUGGUCAACUCGUGGCCAUCAAGCAUUUAACAAAGAGUAACACCUCUGAGUCUUUCACUCGAGAAGUUGAAGGUCUUUCAAGGCUUCGCCAUCCUAACCUGGUUUGCCUCUUUGGAUGCUGCAUAGAAGGGGAUGAGAGAUAUUUAGUCUAUGAAUUCUGUGCAAACGGGAAUCUUGCUCAACAUCUCUUAAGUAAUGUUCUCUUUCCUUACCUCCACUCUUCAUUAAUCAUUUAACAUGUCUAAUGUAAAUAAUCACUUUUUAGUUACCUCUAUUUAGAUAUAGAUUUGACUUUAGCCUUCAUGAUUCUUUUUUAUGCAGUUUCAUAAAUGUUUUUGCCUUUUUUUUAUUGUUGCCUAAUUAAAAUUAGAGCUUCAUAUCAGUAAUUCUCCUUGACAUUUAAUGAAAUUGUUUACUAUGCGAAUUAUUGAGGUGAAACUUUAACUCUGAUUAGAUAACAACACCAAAAUCAAAAUCAGUAUUUCAUCCAAGUUUUGUCCUUCUUUUAUUUCCUUGGAGGGUUUUAUAUAUGCGUGUGUGAUUUUGUUCAGGAAGAGAUAGCCACUUGACAUGGGAAACCAGAGUAAGAAUUUUGAGAGAUUGUUCAUAUGCACUCAAGUACCUCCACCAUCAUAUAGAAGGCUGUGUUGUCCAUAGAGAUAUAAAGGUACGUACAUACAUGAUACAUGGUAUGAAAAUUUGGAUCUGUUGUAGCAUAUUAUGCACUUGAAAACAACAUGCAAAUAUAUUUAUAAUGUUUUCAGUUAGCCUUAUGGUAAUGCUUCUGACUGAUUUUAAAUUUUAGCUUACGAACAUUCUUUUGAAUGAGAAAUACCAAGCGAAACUGUCAGAUUUUGGACUGGCAAAAGUGAUGGGGAUUAAAGAGAGCAAGGUUUUUACUGAUGUUAGAGGAACAAUAGGCUACAUGGAUCCAGAGUACAUGAGUAAUGCCAAGCUAACCUGCGCUAGCGAUGUUUACAGUUUUGGUAUUGUUGCUCUACAAAUUCUGUCGGGACAGAAAGUCAUCGAGUUGGAUCUUGAUGCCAGAGAUCAACUCACUAGGAAGGUACUUGCACUUGCAGGGCAGACAGACAAGCAACAACAAAAAAUGUAUGCAUUAUACUUACAUGCCAUUCAACUCAAACUGAGAUAAUUUGAAUAUGGCUUUUGUAGGCAAGAGAUGUGAGCAUGGGAAAG
Molecule: long non-coding RNA, 1383 nt
Filed under: Glycine max (soybean)
Lineage: Eukaryota; Viridiplantae; Streptophyta; Magnoliopsida; Fabales; Fabaceae
Description: long non-coding RNA (GMAX_LNC000707)
Source: RNAcentral